RNAcentral lists this microRNA precursor (194 nucleotides) under Oryza sativa Indica Group (long-grained rice). RNAcentral's name for it is "MIR812 microRNA precursor family". It matches the Rfam family "MIR812 microRNA precursor family". Lineage: Eukaryota; Viridiplantae; Streptophyta; Magnoliopsida; Poales; Poaceae. The record is from Rfam by way of RNAcentral.
UUUAAGUGCAACCAUGAGUUUCCAUGUCCAACUUUGAUCGUCCGUUUUAUUUGAAUUUUUUUUAUAAUUAGUAUUUUUGUUGUUAUGAGAUGAUAAAAUAUGAACAAUACUUUAUUCAUGACUUAUGUUUUUAAAUUUUUUUAAAUAAGACGGACGAUUAAAAUUGGGCACGGAAAAUUAUGGCUAUACUUAAA